UGUUAUAAUAGUUUAUAUUAAAACCUUGGUCUUGUAAACCAAAAUAAGAUUUAAAAAUCUUUAUAAC
RNAcentral lists this transfer RNA (67 nucleotides) under Sepia officinalis (common cuttlefish). RNAcentral describes it as "tRNA-Thr". It matches the Rfam family "tRNA". Rfam says of the family: Transfer RNA (tRNA) molecules are approximately 80 nucleotides in length. Their secondary structure includes four short double-helical elements and three loops (D, anti-codon, and T loops). Further hydrogen bonds mediate the characteristic L-shaped molecular structure. tRNAs have two regions of fundamental functional importance: the anti-codon, which is responsible for specific mRNA codon recognition, and the 3' end, to which the tRNAs corresponding amino acid is attached (by aminoacyl-tRNA synthetases). tRNAs cope with the degeneracy of the genetic code in two manners: having more than one tRNA (with a specific anti-codon) for a particular amino acid; and 'wobble' base-pairing, i.e. permitting non-standard base-pairing at the 3rd anti-codon position. Lineage: Eukaryota; Metazoa; Mollusca; Cephalopoda; Sepiida; Sepiidae. The record is from RNAcentral.